GUGCUUGCUUCAGCAGCACAUAUACUAAAAUUGGAAUGAUACAAAGAAGAUUAGACUGGCCCUGUGCAAGGAUGACACGCAAAGUCAUGAAAAAUAAAAAGAAUGG
This is a small nuclear RNA of Chionomys nivalis (European snow vole), 106 nucleotides long. The record is from RefSeq and is a predicted model, not a curated record. Lineage: Eukaryota; Metazoa; Chordata; Mammalia; Rodentia; Cricetidae.